Molecule: ribosomal RNA, 16 nt
Filed under: Mortierella alpina
Lineage: Eukaryota; Fungi; Mortierellomycota; Mortierellomycetes; Mortierellales; Mortierellaceae
Also listed under: 2 other names
Description: partial 28S ribosomal RNA
Source: RNAcentral
UCGAUCUCAAAUCAAG